GUCCACGCUGUAAACGUUGCGAACUAGGUGUCGGGGGUAUUCACCCCUCCGGUGCCGAAGCUAACGUCUUAAGUUCGCCGCCUGGGAAGUACGGCCGCAAGGCUAAAACUACAAAGGAAUUGACGGGGGCCCGGCACAAGCGGUGGAGCAUGUGGUUCAAUUCGAUGCAACGCGAAGAACCUUACCUGGGCUUGACAUCCCGAGAAUCUCUCAGAAAUGAGGGAGUGCCCGUAAGGGAACUCGGAGACAGGUGCUGCAUGGCUGUCGU
RNAcentral lists this ribosomal RNA (268 nucleotides) under uncultured bacterium. RNAcentral's name for it is "partial 16S ribosomal RNA". It matches the Rfam family "Bacterial small subunit ribosomal RNA", at positions 793 to 1055 of the family's 1533-position model. The record is from RNAcentral.